RNAcentral lists this ribosomal RNA (314 nucleotides) under uncultured bacterium. RNAcentral describes it as "bacterial SSU rRNA". It matches the Rfam family "Bacterial small subunit ribosomal RNA", at positions 28 to 339 of the family's 1533-position model. The record is from RNAcentral.
GACGAACGCUGGCGGCGUGCUUAAUACAUGCAAGUCAACUGAACUUGAGGUAGCAAUAUCACAAGAGAGGUGGCGCACGGGUGAGUAACACGUAGGUAAUCUGCCUUUAGGUCUGACAUAAUUCCGCGAAAGCGGGACUAAUAUCAGAUGAUGCAGCGGCUCGACAUCGAGACAGUUGUUAAACCUUCGGGGCCUAAAGAUGAGCCUGCGUCUGAUUAGGUAGUUGGCGGAGUAAAAGCCCACCAAGCCUGCGAUCAGUAGCUGGUCUGAGAGGAUGAUCAGCCACACUGGAACUGAGACACGGUCCAGACUCC